CAGGCAUGAGCCACUGUGCCUGGCCUAAACCUGGUGAUUCUUGAGGCAUCUCUUUGUUCUCUGUUGCUAAAUUUUUGUGGUAACUGGACAAGAGAAACAGGUAAGGCCUGAGAAGUUUAUGAUGACUAAGAACCCAGACCCUGCAGAUAUGACAUUCUGCAUUUAGUAGCUACCCAGAUCUUCAGAAGCACUAGUUAAAGGUGAAUCUAGAAAUCAUAAUGGAAGAGAGAAACAAUGAAUAUCAUUUAUGACUUCUGACUAGCUAUAGUGCAUGGGCUGUAGUUUGUCUCAUUUACUGUCCUUUUUGUGUUUUUCCAGGGAUUCUAGAGGAGCUGAUUCCAGAACUUAAUACACUCAUGCACCGCAUAAUGACGUUUUGAUAAAUGAUGGGCCGCCUAUACAAUGGUGGUGCCGUAAGAUUAUAGUACUGAAUUUUUACUGUACCUUUUUUUUAAUGUUUAGAUUCACAAAUACCAUUGUGUGACAAUUGACUACAAUAUUCAAUACAAUAACAUGUCGUACAGGUUUGUAGCCCAGGAGCAGUAGACUAUACCAUAUACCCUAGGUGUGUAGUAGGCUAUACAGUCUAGGUUUCCGUAAGUAUGCUCUAUGAUGUUCGUACAAUGAUGAAAUCAUAUAAGGACCCAUUUCUCAGAAUGUAUCCCUGUUGGUAAGGGAUGCAUGACUGUAUAUGAAUCACAAGUAUCUGAAUAGUGCAGGGAGUAGAAUGUUGCAGAUGCCAUUUUAAACCAUCUAUUUCUCUCAUUAGGACUGAAGCUGUUACUCCCCCAACUUCUGGGAGUGUUUUUGGCUGAAAGCUCUCAGUCAGAGCCUUGCUCUGGGAAUUGUCCUCAGCCAAGGAGAGGAAGAGUCAAACUUGACUUUUAAGAAGUGUUGAAGCCCUACAUUCCUUGAAAAAUUAUGCCGAAUAUCACCUGUACCUUUCAUUUUAUGGAUUGCAAAGGAAGUAGUUUACCAUGUGAUGUAAGUUAGAGGAUUGAAGAUUGCCCUUUGACUCUUGUGAUCAAUGAGAAAGUUUGCCGAAGGAUUGCUGAGUAUGUGCAAGAGACAUUUAUUGAAGAGCAGCUUUGCUUUUACUUCUAAACAACUUCUAAGAAAGAGAAUUUGUGGAUUAGAUUAUGCUAUUUUAUGCAAACACCAAUGUGAUCAGCAGUCAAUGCUAUCACAGGAAGUCCUUAAUAAAAACUUGUGUAAAGGCACUCUUCUCACUCUGAGCUUUCACUGAAUAUGACCUCCCACACUCAUGGCUUCACUGGCCAUCAUAUGAUUUAUACCAUGACCCACGUAUAACUGCUUCUCACUCUCUUGUCUGUGGGACCAAGGCAUCGCUCCUGCUGCUUAUCCGACAUUUCAUCUUGGAUGGUCCAAAGGCAUCUCAAACUCAAUGUAUUCAAGAUGUGGUCUUCUACCUCAUAUAAGAGAUUUAUUUAAUCCUGCCAAUUUUAUUGACUAGCAGCAUGGUUCAUCUGGUUGCUCAAGUCAGAUAUAUCACAUAUAAGCUUCUCUUUCAAGUCCCAUUGAUUUCACCUCUAAAAUAAUACAUGCAGAAAUCCCCAUGAUAUGCAAAUCCUGUUGGCUCUCCCUCCUAAAUAAUUUACAUAAGUUGACUCCAGCACCCAAACCUAGUCCAGGGUGUCAUCAUCUCUUUCCCCGGACAACCCUCAUUACCUUCGAAAUGGUUUACCAUUUUCUACAUUUGCUCCCCUCCCAUCCUUAGUUAUUUUACAUGUCCUAGUUUUCUGUAGGAGCACUUGAUCAACAUCUGUCUACCUCUGAAAGGUAAAUUCUAUAGAGUCAGGAAACUUGCUUGUUUGUCCCAGGUUUGUAUCCCUAGGACCUUGCGAUUGCAUUUCCAUCCUGCUUCACGUACCCUAAAUUCUGGAAGACAAUUUCAUACGUGUGGCUAUGAAUGUUUUUUUCAGUGCAGCAUCUUUGGAAUAACCUCUCAGCUCUUAAAGGUAACUAUUUUAAGUUGGGCAUCACAUAUUAAGACAAAAACAUUUUGCUAUGUGUGUUUAAAAAAAUCAUUUCCCUGCCGUUUUUGGUAGUUACACCUGUAGU
This 2082-nucleotide long non-coding RNA is filed under the name Homo sapiens (human). RNAcentral describes it as "HSALNT0305293". The record is from RNAcentral. Lineage: Eukaryota; Metazoa; Chordata; Mammalia; Primates; Hominidae.